Molecule: long non-coding RNA, 701 nt
Organism: Rhineura floridana
Lineage: Eukaryota; Metazoa; Chordata; Lepidosauria; Squamata; Rhineuridae
Exons: 2
Source: RefSeq, a predicted model, not a curated record
UCGGCUUCUGGUGUUCAUUUUGUGUGGAGCUGGAUAAAGAAUUUGGACUGCACAGAUAGAGAAAAAGGAAAUAGAUCUCCAUUGCUCCUGAAGAGGGAUUACUCCGAAAUGUGUUGAGCCUUAAUAAAUCUACCAAGCACCAGAGCCUGCCUCUCUUUUCUGCCCUGUUCAACCUUAGUCACUGGACUAACAGUAUCAAAACAUGGCCCAGUAUUUCUUAACUGGGACCCUGGAGGAAGUCUACAAAUCUUGGGCAUUCAGAACUUUUGGGGACAAAUGGAGGCAUUUGGGAUUUAGACAACCCCUUUCCCGCCUUCUGACAACGAGCAAAGGAGAGCUGCAUAUUCCUCAUCCCACCCUGAGGAUAAAAAACUAGCUUUCCCCCUCAGGCUCUUAAAAAAGUGGACAUGGCAAAGUAUCAAACAGAAAUGCCCCCAAAGUAUCAAACUUGGGGCAAAAAGAAAAAUAAUACUUCAUCCAUUUACAGUGUGCUUCAAGAAAGAAUACAGUAGCAACAAAGAGGAGGGAGAAACAAGUUCUCAAGAAAGCGUCAAUUGGGAUCAAAGGCAAAAUGACCUGUUUGGAGGACAAAUACCUCCCUUGUCUGUGUGAGUUUUCUGAACCCACCACCGCAUAUUUCAGGUCAGAUCUGUGUAUUAUAUACAUAUAUCUAUACAUUGGAAUAAAGUUGCUUGUCUAGA